RNAcentral lists this ribosomal RNA (459 nucleotides) under uncultured marine bacterium 106. Its description in RNAcentral is "bacterial SSU rRNA". It matches the Rfam family "Bacterial small subunit ribosomal RNA", at positions 1072 to 1533 of the family's 1533-position model. The record is from RNAcentral.
GAGAGUGGGUAGUCCGCACGAGCGCACCCUGCCCUUAAUUGCCAUCGGGUUAUGCCGGGCACUUUAGGGGGACUGCCGGUGACAAGCCGGAGGAGGGUGGGGAUGACGUCAAGUCCUCAUGGCCUUUAUGACCAGGGCUACACACGUGUUACAAUGGGAGUUACAGAGGGAAGCUAAGCCGCGAGGCCAUGCCAAUCCCAGAAAAACUUUCUCAGUUCGGAUCGCAGUCUGCAACUCGACUGCGUGAAGCUGGAAUCGCUAGUAAUCGCGGAUCAGCAUGCCGCGGUGAAUACGUUCCCGGGCCUUGUACACACCGCCCGUCACACCAUGGGAGCCGACAAGGGCAGAAGUCGCCGAGCUAACCUUCGGGAAGCAGGCGCCCAAGCUGUUGUUGACGACUGGGGUGAAGUCGUAACAAGGUAGCCGUAGGAGAACCUGCGGCUGGAUCACCUCCUUUCU